UACGAAGGGGGCUAGCGUUGUUCGGAAUUACUGGGCGUAAAGCGCACGUAGGCGGAUUUGCCAGUCAGGGGUGAAAUCCCGGGGCUCAACCUCGGAACUGCCCUUGAUACAGCAAAUCUUGAGUCCGGAAGAGGUGAGUGGAAUUCCUAGUGUAGAGGUGAAAUUCGUAGAUAUUAGGAAGAACACCAGUGGCGAAGGCGGCUCACUGGUCCGGUACUGACGCUGAGGUGCGAAAGCGUGGGGAGCAAACAGG
RNAcentral lists this ribosomal RNA (253 nucleotides) under uncultured bacterium. RNAcentral describes it as "partial 16S ribosomal RNA". It matches the Rfam family "Bacterial small subunit ribosomal RNA", at positions 524 to 776 of the family's 1533-position model. The record is from RNAcentral.